UAGGGAAUCUUCGGCAAUGGACGGAAGUCUGACCGAGCAACGCCGCGUGAGUGAAGAAGGUUUUCGGAUCGUAAAGCUCUGUUGUUAGAGAAGAACGUUGGUAGGAGUGGAAAAUCUACCAAGUGACGGUAACUAACCAGAAAGGGACGGCUAACUACGUGCCAGCAGCCGCGGUAAUACGUAGGUCCCGAGCGUUGUCCGGAUUUAUUGGGCGUAAAGCGAGCGCAGGCGGUUCUUUAAGUCUGAAGUUAAAGGCAGUGGCUUAACCAUUGUACGCUUUGGAAACUGGAGGACUGGAGUGCAGAAGGGGAGGGUGGAAUUCCAUGUGUAGCGGUGAGAUGCGUAGAUAUAUGGAGGAACACCGGUGGCGAAAGCGGCUCUCUGGUCUGUAGCUGACGCUGAGGCUCGAAAGCGUGGGGAGCAAACAGG
RNAcentral lists this ribosomal RNA (429 nucleotides) under Bacillota bacterium. Its description in RNAcentral is "Firmicutes bacterium partial 16S ribosomal RNA". It matches the Rfam family "Bacterial small subunit ribosomal RNA", at positions 355 to 776 of the family's 1533-position model. The record is from RNAcentral. Lineage: Bacteria; Bacillati; Bacillota.